AGAAAGAAACGGAAUAGAGGCGACUCAUAAACCCUAAUUCGCAAAACCUCCUCUAUAUAACAACAUAACACCACCAUUGUUACCGUCACUCACAUCCUGAUCCAGUUAAUCCUAAAUCCCAACACCAACAAUUGUUCUGAUUUCAUCGCAUUAAUCUGUUUUCUUUACCGUCGAUUGUAUAAUGCGGCGGUUGUCGAUGAUGAAAAAUUCAAGGCUUGUUUCUCAUGAACAUUCGCAGUGGCCGCCUGAUUGAGCUUUCGCCUUCGCCAGGCUUGAGAGCUCGUGUUGCUACUUUCCUUCCUUGGAUGUCUGAGAUCCCCCGCCAAUCUUCAUAUCCACACUUCUCAAAUCGUAUUUUAUCUCAUUUUCUUAAUUAUUAUUUUUUUCUCAAUUGGGUGUUUUCUACCCCUUUCGCAAAUAUCCUAUUGAUUUUGGAUUGGAAUGAUAUUCCCUGAUUUUCAAAUCACUAGUCUGACUGAUUUUACAAGUUGCUGAUCAUUUACGGGUGGGAGCUCUGGUUUUUUAAUCCAAAUUAGUUUAUUAGUUGUUUUGAUUUUAUUUAUAGUUAGAAUUGAUUAUGAAACUGAUGAUGAUAAUCCAAAGGCUUGUUUCUCAGAGACAUUCGCAGUGGCCGCCUAAGAACUUUCGCCUUCGCCAGGCUUGAGAGUUAAUGCUGCUUUUUUCCUUCCUUGGAUGUCUGAAGUUUUAAUUUAUUUAUAUUUAUUGUGGGUUUCUCAGUGAUGAUUUCAUAGAUGACGAGUCUGAUAUAUCCAUUCCAUUCAUCAUGAAGACCAAUCGAGGCAUUUGUCUGAGAGAUACCCUUCGUUCUUGAAAAACUGUCAGGAGACUUUUGUAUAGGUUGCAAGAUUGUAAGGAAGCCAUAAACUGUAGGUUGCAAGAUUUGAUGAAAGCCACACUUAGGGGCUGUUUGUCUUUUUUGGGAAGAGCACAUAUGCCCUUGUGUUUGAUUUUUGGAAGUGCACCGACCAAAAAAACCAAAAAAAGAGUUAGGUCUUCCAGGCGUAGACAUGGGUCACAUAGCUGCAGACAUUAAAAACAAAGUCUUCUUAUUGCAGACUGGAGACAUUUGAUCCACCUGCCGUAGAGGCUUGCAGUUGUGGUCUGCGUGGUCUGCAGAAUACAGUCAUUUUGGCUUCAAAAAAACAAACACACCUUAGUUUUAGACUGGUAUAUGUUGUUGCAUGAUGCGGUCAUGUUUGUUAUUUUGUUGGUAGUACUAAAUAUAAAGUUCCUUAAUAAUUAAGGAAUUGUGAUUAUUUUAAUUAUGAUUUUUUCUAUAUUCAUGUAUGCGUAAGAAAUUUAUAACAAGGUUAUCCGCGGUUUGCAGCGAUUCUAA
Lactuca sativa (garden lettuce) is the source of this 1357-nucleotide long non-coding RNA. RefSeq lists it as uncharacterized. The record is from RefSeq and is a predicted model, not a curated record. NCBI's taxonomy places the organism in Eukaryota, Viridiplantae, Streptophyta, Magnoliopsida, Asterales, Asteraceae.